RNAcentral lists this ribosomal RNA (382 nucleotides) under uncultured eukaryote. RNAcentral describes it as "partial 18S ribosomal RNA". It matches the Rfam family "Eukaryotic small subunit ribosomal RNA", at positions 592 to 976 of the family's 1831-position model. The record is from RNAcentral.
UGUAAGCGUAUACCAAAGUUGUUGCAGUUAAAACGCUCGUAGUCGGAAUUUGGCAGUUCCGGAAGUGUGCACGUCGUGUGCGCACUUUGCGGGGACUGCUUUUGUGGUCUUGCGUAGGAUGAGGCACUUUCAUUAGUGAACGUCCUCACGCAACCACUCUUUACUGUGAGAAAAUCGGAGUGCUCAAAGCAGGCAUUUGCCGUGAAUGUAUUAGCAUGGAAUAAUAGAAUAGGACUCGGUUCUAUUUUGUUGGUUUGUUGGGACUGAGUAAUGAUUAAGAGGGACAGUUGGGGGCAUUUGUAUUCCGGCGCUAGAGGUGAAAUUCUUAGAUUGCCGGAAGACAAACUGCUGCGAAAGCGUCUGCCGAGGAUGUUUUCAUUGA